Long non-coding RNA from Portunus trituberculatus (swimming crab), 825 nucleotides. RefSeq lists it as uncharacterized. The record is from RefSeq and is a predicted model, not a curated record. The transcript has 3 exons. Lineage: Eukaryota; Metazoa; Arthropoda; Malacostraca; Decapoda; Portunidae.
CGAGGAAGAAAGCGCGAUGUCAUAGUGGAUGUUGAAUUAUUGUAUGUGGUGAUUAGCGUUUUCCCGUCCAUCUCGGCUGUCGUGCAGUGCGUCCUUGGUGACUGAUUGGCGAGGUGCAGGAUGCGUGAAGCAGCCGUCAGUGCCUGCGUCCGGCUCAACAUUUAUGGACCUCACGGAAAGAAGGAACAGUUUCAAUGGAAGAUUGAAAAGUUGGUGUUGUUGAGGGAGAGAAAAGUUUGAGGCGUUGCCGCAGGAGUGUGGAAUCAUAAUAGAAAGUGAAAAGUGAAAAGUGAAAAAUUUAAGUGGGCACAAACACAUCUAGUUAUUAAUAUAUUCUUAUUUUUCUUAUACUUAUUUUAUUUACUUAUAUUAUUUUUCUUAUACUUAUUUUAUUUACUUAUUGGCAAACAAAGUCGAUUGUCUUGAUAAGUAAUGGAUCAGGCGCGUUGUUACAUAAGUGUUGUGUUUUUCAACCAAUGUGAACUGAUGAGCUUGGUGAAGAGCAGUGACGUGCGGCCUCCAGGUGCACUGAGCUUGGCCUGUACUAGUACCUGAAGGAAUGGCUCUGGAUGUAUUGUGAUAAUCUGAAGGCCCACUGUUCUGACGCAGUGAUCAAACAGCACCUCUGAGCCUGUCUCAGAACACUGUUUGGAGCAGAUCUUGCCCUCAUCAUUCAUCAGCCUCCGUGCAAGCACUCCUUGUCUGGUAGGCUGGAUGUGCUGCGCCACCUCGCUGCAUCAAGGUAAUUGGUCUUUGGUUCCCUGACUCACCUGCUGCCUCACCUGCCACCUCCCCUUGUGACGCGGCCCGGUGUGCGUAGUGUGC